RNAcentral lists this ribosomal RNA (484 nucleotides) under uncultured bacterium. Its description in RNAcentral is "partial 16S ribosomal RNA". It matches the Rfam family "Bacterial small subunit ribosomal RNA", at positions 30 to 507 of the family's 1533-position model. The record is from RNAcentral.
AUUGAACGCUGGCGGAAUGCUUUACACAUGCAAGUCGAGCGGCAGCACGGGGGCAACCCUGGUGGCGAGCGGCGAACGGGUGAGUAAUACAUCGGAACAUGCCCAGUCGUGGGGGAUAACACUUCGAAAGAAGUGCUAAUACCGCAUACGUCCUGAGGGGGAAAGCGGGGGAUCGCAAGACCUCGCGCGAUUGGAGUGGCCGAUGUCAGAUUAGCUAGUUGGUGGGGUAAAGGCCUACCAGGGCAACGAUCUGUAGCUGGUCUGAGAGGAUGAUCAGCCACACUGGGACUGAGACACGGCCCAGACUCCUACGGGAGGCAGCAGUGGGGAAUUUUGGACAAUGGGGGCAACCCUGAUCCAGCCAUUCCGCGUGAGUGAAGAAGGCCUUCGGGUUGUAAAGCUCUUUCGGCAGGAACGAAACGGUGAGCUCUAACAUAGCUUGCUAAUGACGGUACCUGAAGAAGAAGCACCGGCUAACUACGUG